CCUUUAUUGCUGGCGGCUACUGCUGGGCGAGCCCUAUCAAAAGGCGAGCGUUUGGACUUCGGUCUGAGCUAGUAGCUUUUUUAUUUUAAACCCUUUACUUAAUACUGAUUAUACUGUGGGGACGAAAGUCUCUGCUUUUAACUAGAUAGCAACUUUCAGCAGUGGAUGUCUAGGUCGCACAUCGAUGAAGAACGCUGCGAACUGCGAUACGUAAUGCGAAUUGCAGGAUUCAGUGAGUCAUCGAAAUUUUGAACGCAUAUUGCACUUCCGGGUUAGUCCUGGAAGUAUGCCUGUAUCAGUGUCCGUACAACAAACUUGGCUUUCUUCCUUCCGUGUAGUCGGUGGAGGAGAUGCCAGAUGUGAAGUGUCUUGCGGUUGGUUUUCGGACCGACUGCGAGUCCUUUUAAAUGUACUAAACUGUACUUCUCUUUGCUCCAAAAGUGGUGGCAUUGCUGGUUGUGGACGCUGCUAUUGUAGCGAGUUGGCGACCGGUUUGUCUGCUGCGGCGUUAAUGGAGAAAUGCUCGAUUCGUGGUAUGGUUGGCUUCGGCUGAACAAUGCGCUUAUUGGGUGAUUUUCCUGCUGGGCGUGAUGGACUGGUGAACCAUGGCUCUUUAGCUUGGCAUUUGAAUCGGCUUUGCUG
RNAcentral lists this ribosomal RNA (642 nucleotides) under Phytophthora infestans (potato late blight agent). Its description in RNAcentral is "eukaryotic LSU rRNA". The stretch from base 151 to 304 matches the Rfam family "5.8S ribosomal RNA". Lineage: Eukaryota; Oomycota; Peronosporomycetes; Peronosporales; Peronosporaceae. The record is from RNAcentral.